AGAGUUUGAUCAUGGCUCAGGAUGAACGCUAGCGGCAGGCCUAAUACAUGCAAGCCGAACGGUAAGUUUGAUAGCAAUAUUGAACCUAGAGUGGCGUAAGGGUGCGUAACACGUAUGCAAUCUACCCGCAACAGGAGGAUAGCUCCCCGAAAGGGGAAUUAACCCUCCAUGAGAUCACACGAGGGCAUCUGAGAGUGAUUAAAUCUGAGGAGGUUGUGGAUGAGCAUGCGACUGAUUAGCUAGUUGGUAGUGUAACGGACUACCAAGGCGAUGAUCAGUAGGGGAACUGAGAGGUUGAUCCCCCACACUGGCACUGAGAUACGGGCCAGACUCCUACGGGAGGCAGCAGUAGGGAAUAUUGGUCAAUGGGUGAGAGCCUGAACCAGCCAUGCCGCGUGCAGGAAGAAGGCCUUCUGGGUUGUAAACUGCUUUUGCCGGGGGAUAAAAGAGCUUUGCGAAGCGAAUUGAAGGUACCUGGUGAAUAAGCCACGGCUAACUACGUGCCAGCAGCCGCGGUAAUACGUAGGUGGCAAGCGUUGUCCGGAUUUAUUGGGUUUAAAGGGUGCGUAGGCGGUUGAUUAAGUCAGUUGUGAAAUACGGCAGCUUAACUGUCGAGGUGCAAUUGAUACUGGUUGACUUGAGUACAGACGAGGUAGGCGGAAUUGACGGUGUAGCGGUGAAAUGCAUAGAUAUCGUCAAGAACACCGAUAGCGAAGGCAGCUUACUAGACUGUAACUGACGCUGAGGCACGAAAGUGUGGGGAUCAAACAGGAUUAGAUACCCUAGUAGUCC
This 792-nucleotide ribosomal RNA is filed under the name uncultured bacterium. RNAcentral describes it as "bacterial SSU rRNA". It matches the Rfam family "Bacterial small subunit ribosomal RNA", at positions 8 to 796 of the family's 1533-position model. The record is from RNAcentral.